UUCGACGCAACGCGCAGUACCUUACCUAGACUUGGCAUCCCGGGGAUUUUCUGGAAACAGGGGAGUGCCCUUCGGGAACCCGGUGACAGGUGCUGCAUGGCUGUCGUCAGCUCGUGUCGUGAGAUGUUGGGUUAAGUCCCGCAACGAGCGCAACCCUUGUCUUUAAUUGCCAUCAUUUAGUUGGGCACUUUAAAGAGACUGCCGGUGUUAAGCCGGAGGAAGGUGAGGAUGAUGUCAAGUCAGCAUGACCUUUAUAUCCAGGGCUACACACACGCUACAAUGGUCUGUACAAUGGGUAGCCAAGCCGCGAGGCGGAGCCAAUCCUGAAAGCAGGCCUCAGUUCAGAUUGCAGUCUGCAACUCGACUGCAUGAAGCCGGAGUUGCUAGUAACCGCAGGUCAGCAAUACUGCGGUGAAUACGUUCCCGGGUCUU
RNAcentral lists this ribosomal RNA (432 nucleotides) under uncultured Syntrophus sp. Its description in RNAcentral is "bacterial SSU rRNA". It matches the Rfam family "Bacterial small subunit ribosomal RNA", at positions 950 to 1382 of the family's 1533-position model. The record is from RNAcentral. Lineage: Bacteria; Pseudomonadati; Thermodesulfobacteriota; Syntrophia; Syntrophales; Syntrophaceae.